GGUGAGUAAUACUUAGGAAUCUGCCUAUUAAUGGGGGACAACAUCUCGAAAGGGAUGCUAAUACCGCAUACGCCCUACGGGGGAAAGCAGGGGAUCACUUGUGACCUUGCGUUAAUAGAUGAGCCUAAGUCGGAUUAGCUAGUUGGUGGGGUAAAGGCCUACCGAGGCGACGAUCUGUAGCGGGUCUGAGAGGAUGAUCCGCCACACUGGGACUGAGACACGGCCCAGACUCCUACGGGAGGCAGCAGCGGGGAAUAUUGGACAAUGGGGGGAACCCUGAUCCAGCCAUGCCGCGUGUGUGAAGAAGGCCUUAUGGUUGUAAAGCACUUUAAGCGAGGAGGAGGCUCUCUUGGUUAAUACCCAAGAUGAGUGGACGUUACUCGCAGAAUAAGCACCGGCUAACUCUGUGCCAGCAGCCGCGGUAAUACAGAGGGUGCGAGCGUUAAUCGGAUUUACUGGGCGUAAAGCGUGCGUAGGCGGCUUUUUAAGUCGGAUGUGAAAUCCCCGAGCUUAACUUGGGAAUUGCAUUCGAUACUGGGAAGCUAGAGUAUGGGAGAGGAUGGUAGAAUUCCAGGUGUAGCGGUGAAAUGCGUAGAGAUCUGGAGGAAUACCGAUGGCGAAGGCAGCCAUCUGGCCUAAUACUGACGCUGAGGUACGAAAGCAUGGGGAGCAAACAGGAUUAGAUACCCUGGUAGUCCAUGCCGUAAACGAUGUCUACUAGCCGUUGGGGCCUUUGAGGCUUUAGUGGCGCAGCUAACGCGAUAAGUAGACCGCCUGGGGAGUACGGUCGCAAGACUAAAACUCAAAUGAAUUGACGGGGGCCCGCACAAGCGGUGG
RNAcentral lists this ribosomal RNA (837 nucleotides) under uncultured bacterium. RNAcentral's name for it is "bacterial SSU rRNA". It matches the Rfam family "Bacterial small subunit ribosomal RNA", at positions 105 to 935 of the family's 1533-position model. The record is from RNAcentral.